AGAACUCACUGACAAAACCAGUACCCACAGUAACAAAUGGUAACAUGUCAGUGAAUGGAUAAUAGAACGGAAACAACAAUACAACUAAUUAAUUUCGCC
Molecule: non-coding RNA, 99 nt
Organism: Cucurbita pepo subsp. pepo (vegetable marrow)
Lineage: Eukaryota; Viridiplantae; Streptophyta; Magnoliopsida; Cucurbitales; Cucurbitaceae
Source: RefSeq, a predicted model, not a curated record